CGCCAGAGCCGCCGGAACAUACACAUGCAAGUCGGACGGUAGCACAGAGAGCUUUCUCUUGGGUGAGAGUGGGGGACGGGUGAGUAAUGUCUGGGGAUCUGCCCGAUAGAGGGGGAUAACCACUGGAAACGGUGGCUAAAACCGCACAACGUCGCACGACCAAAGAGGGGGACCUUCGGGCCUCUCACUAUCGGAUGAACCCCCAUGGGAUUAGCUAGUAGGCGGGGUAAUGGCCCACCUAGGCGACAAUCCCUAGCUGGUCUGAGAGGAUGACCAGCCACACUGGAACUGAGACACGGUCCACACUCCUACGGGAGGCAGCAGUGGGGAAUAUUGCACAAUGGGCGCAAGCCUGAUGCACCCAUGCCGCGUGUAUGAAAAAAGCCUUCGGGUUGUAAAGUACUUUCACCGGGGAGGAAGGCGACGGGGUUAAUAACCCUGUCGAUUGACGUUACCCGCACAAAAAACACCGGCUAACUCCGUGCCACCACCCGCGGUAAUACGGAGGGUGCAAGCGUUAAUCGGAAUUACUGGGCGUAAAGCGCACGCAGGCGGUCUGUUAAGUCAGAUGUGAAAUCCCCGGGCUUAACCUGGGAACUGCAUUUGAAACUGGCAGGCUUGAGUCUUGUAGAGGGGGGUAUAAUUCCAGGUGUAGCGGUGAAAUGCGUAUAGAUCUGGAGGAAUACCGGUGGCGAAGGCGGCCCCCUGGACAAAGACUGACGCUCAGGUGCGAAAGCGUGUGGAGCAAACAGGAUUAUAUACCCUGGUAGUCCACGCCGUAUACGAUGUCUACUUGUAGGUUGUUCCCUUGAGGAGUGUCUUCCGGAGCUCACGCGUUAAGUCGACCGCCUGGGGAGUACGGCCGCAAGGUUAAAACUCACAUGAAUUGACAGGGGCCCGCACAAGCGGUGGAGCAUGUGGUUUAAUUCUAUGCAACGCGCAGAACCUUACCUACUCUUGACAUCCACGGAACUUUUCAGAGAUGCCUUAGUGCCUUCUGGGAACACUGAGACAGUGCUGCAUGGCUGUCGUCACUCUGUGUGAAAUGUGGGUUAAAUCUCGCACGAGCGCACCCCUAUCCUUGUGCACGAAUCGUCGGAACUCAGAGACUUGCGUGAUAACCGGAGGAGGUGGUAUACGUCAGUCAUCAUGGCCUACAAUAGCUACACACUGCUCAUGGACCACAGAGCACUUCGGAGACACGGACUCGAGUGCCUCAAUCCGAU
This 1226-nucleotide ribosomal RNA is filed under the name Pantoea sp. RNAcentral's name for it is "bacterial SSU rRNA". It matches the Rfam family "Bacterial small subunit ribosomal RNA", at positions 34 to 1276 of the family's 1533-position model. The record is from RNAcentral. Lineage: Bacteria; Pseudomonadati; Pseudomonadota; Gammaproteobacteria; Enterobacterales; Erwiniaceae.